UAUCCGUAGGUGAACCAGCGGAGGGAUCAUUACCGAGCUUACAUCUCUCAAACCCUUUGUGUACCUUACCUUAUGUUGUUUCGGCUGGAUCGCCCUGGCGCUUCACGGUGCCGGAACUCAGCGCCUGCCGGAGGCACAAAACUCUUUUUUAUUUAUGUUUCCUCUCCGAGUGGCACAAGCAAAUUAAAUCAAGACUUUCAACAACGGAUCUCUUGGUUCUG
This 221-nucleotide unclassified non-coding RNA is filed under the name plant metagenome. RNAcentral describes it as "partial contains small subunit ribosomal RNA, internal transcribed spacer 1, and 5.8S ribosomal RNA". The record is from RNAcentral.